GGGAUCCGAGGAGGGAAAUGUCAUACUCUUAGAUCGAAGACUUUGGAAAUUAAAAUCUUUGUCAACUCUUGCUGGCAUAUUGCUUAUUAGAGGGACCAUGGGCUAUCAUUUUUUUUCUCUCUCUCUUUUUUUUAAGUGGAUACCGAGGUACCCCUAAUUCUACUGCCGGACACUUGUCCAUUUUUUCUGCGAGGUUGUCGAGCACUUGCUCCUUUUUAUUUCCUCGAAAUAUUUCUAUUUUUGCAUAGCCCAUGCCUCUAAUGCAAUAAUACUUCGGAAGAGUGAAUCUUACUGAAAUAAAUGUCUUGAUCUUGGGAGCAUGAUAAAUCUCUCAACAAGGGUCUAACUCAUUUUGAACAAACUCAAUACAGAGCAGAUAGCUUUUAUAAUCAUAAUUUAUAUUUUUAGUUUUAUCCGGCAUAUAAAACACUGAGGAUCGUAGCUAGAAUUUUGAAUAUUUUGAAAUAAAUUCUCCAAGCAACAAUGAUAUCAAGAAUAAGAAACUCAUACUCUACCAUCACAUAUUCCAUAUUGACUUAAGUAACACAGGGUUUU
Molecule: long non-coding RNA, 555 nt
Filed under: Sorghum bicolor (sorghum)
Lineage: Eukaryota; Viridiplantae; Streptophyta; Magnoliopsida; Poales; Poaceae
Description: long non-coding RNA (SBIC_LNC007111)
Source: RNAcentral